RNAcentral lists this transfer RNA (73 nucleotides) under Sorex minutissimus (miniscule shrew). Its description in RNAcentral is "tRNA-Asn". The record is from RNAcentral. Lineage: Eukaryota; Metazoa; Chordata; Mammalia; Eulipotyphla; Soricidae.
UAAAUUGAAGCCAGUUGUUUAGGGUAUUUACCUGUUAACUAAAAUUUCGGGGGAUGAAAGCCCACCAAUCUAG